Poecilia latipinna (sailfin molly) is the source of this 319-nucleotide long non-coding RNA. RefSeq lists it as uncharacterized. The transcript is spliced from 4 exons. NCBI's taxonomy places the organism in Eukaryota, Metazoa, Chordata, Actinopteri, Cyprinodontiformes, Poeciliidae. The record is from RefSeq and is a predicted model, not a curated record.
UUCACAACGAAACCACCAGGGAAAAAAAGAGUAGGACAGGGAGCUGUUUGAUGAAACUGAAAGCGAUGCAAACGCCGCCGACCCACACCAGAUUCUUCAACAGAAAGAGCUUUAUAGCUGAGAUACAUCCCUGAGGAAGAAGACAGACAGUUUAACCGUUUGUCCUCAGAAACGUGCAGGAAUCUGGCACGGCUUCAUGGUUUCCCCAGCCCACACUUCUGGACCAGUCGGUCUUAAACUCUUUCUCCAGCAUUUGGCUCCUGAGCAUCUGCAGGAAACCUGGUCCGACUCCACAGUCUGGAAAAGACUUGAGGCCUCC